Molecule: long non-coding RNA, 1598 nt
Organism: Cyprinus carpio carpio
Lineage: Eukaryota; Metazoa; Chordata; Actinopteri; Cypriniformes; Cyprinidae
Source: Ensembl
AUGUGUAAAUACAAUUCUUGUCACGUUGUCUGCGCCCUGCUCUCUUCACACCCCGGCAUAUGUUGCAGCAGAGCCUGGAUCAGUGCCACAUGCAAGCCUGCUGCCCCAGCUACUCUCCCUGCUCUCCGCCACCUGUGCUCCCUCCCUCAGCGCCUGGCUCCGGGCUCUCUGGCUCUGACACACACCUGUGACUGGGAAAUAGUCUCCAGCCGAUGCCUCUCCUCCACCUCCGAGCUGUCACUCAUCCAGUUCUUCCGCAACACAAGUUUUAUAGACAACCCCCAUGGAAACUCUACACAAUCUCCUCAAAUUAAGCACAUCAACCCACUCCUGUCAACUCACAGGAAAUUCAGAACAGUGCUAAAGUAGGACAGCAGAGAUUUCUUUUCAUUAGGAUGUCUUCCAACUCACCCACAUGUCGUUCCAAACAUGUUUGACUUUCUUUCUUCUUCGGAACACAAAAGGAGAUGUUUUGAAGAAUGCCCACGCUGCUCUUUUCCAUAUUUCACUAUUAACUAGUUGCUUAUUAGCAUGCAUAUUCCUAGCAUGAUUGAUUUUUAUUAGUACUUAUGAAGCACUUAUUAAUGCCUUGUUCUGCAUGAACGUAUUUUAGAGCCCUUAAUCCUACUCCAUACAUAAACUUAACAAUUACCUUGCUAAAAGUUAAUUGGGAAUUUUUUAAGGGAAAAGUCAUAGUUAAUGGUCCCCAAACUAAAGCGUGACCCUCUAGUUUUUGAAACUAGUCUAGUUUCAAAAAUAUUAUGACUUUUGCAUGUUCCAAAAAUCCUUGCAAGUUAUAUGAUGGCUUUAUAAUUUAUUCUUUGUAAUUUGCAUAUUUCUUUCAGUUUUAAUUUGUGAUUGCAAGUGCAUUUUAAAACUUAGCACUGUGAAUCAGUUUCUCAGUUUUUUUCUUUUGGCUUAAGAAGAUGUGGAAUGUACUGCUCAAUUCAGAUGGACCACUUUUAUGAUGCUGUUCAUGGUGCUUUUUCAUUCUCAGCCCACUUUAUAUUGAGUAUCUUUAAUUAAACUUGUACAUACUAUAGAUAUGCACCUAUAUAUGUUUUUACAUUGUUCUUAUAUUUUAAAAAUACCAGCAUGUUUUUACAUCUACAAUUAUUUUUUGUAAUUACAUGUGUAAUUACAAUAUAGAUCCUACACCUACCGCUUAACCAACCUUUAAACCUAACAAUACCAAGAAACCUGUUACUAACCUUACCCAUAUCCUAUCCCAAUAGCAGUAAUAAAAUACAACAUGAACACAAUAAACACAUUGUACCACAACAAUUGUUUGUUUAUUUAUUUAUUUAUUUUUGAUGAAAGUACAUUAAAGUAACAUAAUAUUAAAUGAGACCUUUUUCUUUUGGGAGCUUGAACAUUCCUGGUCAUUAUAUGCUUUCAUUGUAUGACAAUGAGCAAGAGCAGCGUGAACAUUCUUCAAAAUGUAUUAUUUCUCUAAAAAAGACAGUUAUGUGUUUGUAAUAACAUUAGGAUGAAUAAAUGAUGACUGAACUUAUAAUUUAAGUUUCAUUUAAUAUGAUAUUUUGUAAGGCCAAAAUAAAAAGACAUUACAUAAGCAUGUAUAUACAAUAUCUGAAAAU